RNAcentral lists this ribosomal RNA (559 nucleotides) under uncultured bacterium. RNAcentral's name for it is "partial 16S ribosomal RNA". It matches the Rfam family "Bacterial small subunit ribosomal RNA", at positions 355 to 906 of the family's 1533-position model. The record is from RNAcentral.
UGGGGAAUUUUGGACAAUGGGGGCAACCCUGAUCCAGCAAUGCCGCGUGUGUGAAGAAGGCCUUCGGGUUGUAAAGCACUUUUGUCCGGAAAGAAAACGCCGUGGUUAAUACCCGUGGCGGAUGACGGUACCGGAAGAAUAAGCACCGGCUAACUACGUGCCAGCAGCCGCGGUAAUACGUAGGGUGCAAGCGUUAAUCGGAAUUACUGGGCGUAAAGCGCGCGCAGGCGGUCCGCUAAGACAGAUGUGAAAUCCCCGGGCUUAACCUGGGAACUGCAUUUGUGACUGGCGGGCUAGAGUAUGGCAGAGGGGGGUAGAAUUCCACGUGUAGCAGUGAAAAUGCGUAGAGAUGUGGAGGAAUACCGAUGGCGAAGGCAGCCCCCUGGGCCAAUACUGACGCUCAUGCACGAAAGCGUGGGGAGCAAACAGGAUUAGAUACCCUGGUAGUCCACGCCCUAAACGAUGUCAACUAGUUGUCGGGUCUUCAUUGACUUGGUAACGUAGCUAACGCGUGAAGUUGACCGCCUGGGGAGUACGGUCGCAAGAUUAAAACUCAAAU